RNAcentral lists this transfer RNA (75 nucleotides) under Clostridium sp. Its description in RNAcentral is "tRNA-Gly". It matches the Rfam family "tRNA". Rfam says of the family: Transfer RNA (tRNA) molecules are approximately 80 nucleotides in length. The record is from RNAcentral. Lineage: Bacteria; Bacillati; Bacillota; Clostridia; Eubacteriales; Clostridiaceae. RNAcentral also lists the same sequence under 1 other name.
GCGAAAAUGACUCAACGGUAGAGUGCCACCUUGCCAAGGUGGAGGCUGCGGGUUCGAAUCCCGUUUUUCGCUCCA